UACGGGGGGGGCAAGCGUUGUUCGAAAUUACUGGGCGUAAAGGGCUCGUAGGCGGCCAACUAAGUCAGACGUGAAAUCCCUCGGCUUAACCGGGGAACUGCAUCUGAUACUGGAUGGCUUGAGUUCGGGAGAGGGAUGCGGAAUUCCAGGUGUAGCGGUGAAAUGCGUAGAUAUCUGGAGGAACACCGGUGGCGAAGGCGGCAUCCUGGACCGGCAUUGACGCUGAGGAGCGAAAGCUAGGGGAGCAAACGGG
This 253-nucleotide ribosomal RNA is filed under the name uncultured bacterium. RNAcentral describes it as "partial 16S ribosomal RNA". It matches the Rfam family "Bacterial small subunit ribosomal RNA", at positions 524 to 776 of the family's 1533-position model. The record is from RNAcentral.